GAAGCAACGCGCAGAACCUUACCACCUUUUGACAUGCCUGGACCGCCAGAGAGAUCUGGCUUUCCCUUCGGGGACUAGGACACAGGUGCUGCAUGGCUGUCGUCAGCUCGUGUUGUGAAAUGUUGGGUUAAGUCCCGCAACGAGCGCAACCCUUAUCCUUUGUUGCCAGCGGUUCGGCCGGGAACUCAAAGGAGACUGCCAGUGAUAAACUGGAGGAAGGUGGGGAUGACGUCAAGUCAUCAUGGCCCUUACGAGUAGGGCUACACACGUGCUACAAUGGCAUAUACAAAGAGAAGCGACCUCGCGAGAGCAAGCGGACCUCAUAAAGUAUGUCGUAGUCCGGAUUGGAGUCUGCAACUCGACUCCAUGAAGUCGGAAUCGCUAGUAAUCGUAGAUCAGAAUGCUACGGUGAAUACGUUCCCGGGCCCUGUACACACCGCCCGUCACACCAUGGGAGUGGGUUGCAAAAGAAGUAGGUAGCUUAACCUUCGGGAGGGCGCUUACCACUUUGUGAUUCAUGACUGGGGUGAAGUCGUAACAAGGUAACCGUAGGGGAACCUGCGGCUGGAUCACCUCCUU
RNAcentral lists this ribosomal RNA (579 nucleotides) under uncultured Serratia sp. RNAcentral's name for it is "bacterial SSU rRNA". It matches the Rfam family "Bacterial small subunit ribosomal RNA", at positions 953 to 1532 of the family's 1533-position model. The record is from RNAcentral. Lineage: Bacteria; Pseudomonadati; Pseudomonadota; Gammaproteobacteria; Enterobacterales; Yersiniaceae.